CCUACGGGGGGCAGCAGUGGGGAAUAUUGGGCAAUGGGCGCAAGCCUGACCCAGCAACGCCGCGUGAAGGAAGAAGGCUUUCGGGUUGUAAACUUCUUUUCUCAGGGACGAAGGAAGUGACGGUACCUGAGGAAUAAGCCACGGCUAACUACGUGCCAGCAGCCGCGGUAAUACGUAGGUGGCAAGCGUUAUCCGGAUUUACUGGGUGUAAAGGGCGUGUAGGCGGGACAGUAAGUCAGAUGUGAAAACCAUGGGCUUAACCUGUGGCUUGCAUUUGAAACUGUUGUGCUAGAGUACUGGAGAGGCAGGCGGAAUUCCUAGUGUAGCGGUGAAAUGCGUAGAUAUUAGGAGGAACACCAGUGGCGAAGGCGGUCUGCUGGACUGCAACUGACGCUGAGGCACGAAAGCGUGGGGAGCGAACAGGAUUAGAUACCCGUGUAGUC
This 443-nucleotide ribosomal RNA is filed under the name uncultured bacterium. Its description in RNAcentral is "partial 16S ribosomal RNA". It matches the Rfam family "Bacterial small subunit ribosomal RNA", at positions 338 to 795 of the family's 1533-position model. The record is from RNAcentral.